Molecule: non-coding RNA, 96 nt
Filed under: uncultured Enterocloster sp.
Lineage: Bacteria; Bacillati; Bacillota; Clostridia; Lachnospirales; Lachnospiraceae
Description: NiCo riboswitch
Rfam family: NiCo (Nickel/Cobalt) riboswitch aptamer
Source: RNAcentral
ACAGUACAAACUGAGCAGGCGAUGACCCGCAGGGGUCGUGGGGCCGGGUCGCAAAAAGUGACAGCAGAUCGUGAUAUCGCGCAUCUGUGGGACAGU